Acanthosepion pharaonis is the source of this 97-nucleotide non-coding RNA. NCBI's taxonomy places the organism in Eukaryota, Metazoa, Mollusca, Cephalopoda, Sepiida, Sepiidae. The record is from the annotation of a GenBank genome assembly.
GUUGACACGCCGGUUCCCGUAAGAUCUCCGAAGUUAAGCAACGUCGAGUUUAGUCAGUACCUAGAUGGGUGACCUUUUGGGUGUACCAGGUGCAGUC